AAGAGAGUGAGGUUAGGGGCGGACAACGAAGAUGGCAACAGGAAGUUGUAAUUCAAACAUGCAUUGUAUAGCGCCAGGCUGUAUGAAUUGGCCCCCAAAAAUCCCUCUGUAAACUACCAUCGGCUUCCCAUGGACCUACAACUUUAGAAGUGGCUCCAUGUCCUGAAAAUUAAGGACAUGCCAGCUUGACCUAGCAGGAUCUGCAGACAGCACUUUGCGGAGGCAGAAUUCGCAAUGAAGGUCACUUUCGAUGAGGAAACUGGGAGUUUCCGAAUGGAAAGGAGUCAUAGGCCUACGUUGAAGCCCUCUGCUUGCGCCUCCAUUUGAAAUUGAGGGUUAUGGUGUAGGGGUUACCAACCGACCAUCAUGAACAUCACGGAUUUUUGGAGUCAAGCGAAAGCAACUGAAUGGAGGAGGCGACGUGAGUAAAUGCAAUGGAGCCUGAAGUAACGUUAACCGGUCAUGACUGUUGUUGACUAGGCUAGUGUUAGACACUGGACAACUUUAUUGCAACUCUAGCUGAAGGAUGACAUCUUCAUCCCUGAAAAUGUUUUCAUCCUGGAGGAGACUGUGCAGAAGGCAGAGGAAAGAACAGUUAGUACAGCAUGCCAAACUGACUCCUGGGUGCCAGUGUUCCCGUGCUGCGGUGGAGAAGAGGUCCACCGGGACCAUCACUAAAGAGCUCAGGGCCCAGCUAGAUUGCUCUCACAACCAUCAGUAUACAACCGGGUCCUGCCCCUAUACGCCACAGAUGGAGCUGAAUGAGAGUGAGAUCUGUGAAGACCAUAACUCGCUGUAUGAACCUGAGAGCUCAGAAUCACAAUCAUCACAGUCCGAGCCAAGAUAUACUAUCAAUCACUUUGGGGGAGCGGGUGGUUGUUGCGAAAAUGGAGAAAGAGCAGGCCAUUCAACAGCGAAUUCAAAGAUACACCCAUCCAUAAAGGGAAUCGGAGUGGAAUUGUUUUAACACAGUUUUUUUUUUUACCCGUUUCAAUGGAUGUGCUACCUUGUCCCAGUUCUGCUGUUUCAACUCUCUCUCUCUCAACCUAUGAAUGCCCAGCUACAAAAAGACAACUGACAUUUGCUCCUGAGGUGUUGAACUGUUGCACCCUCUAUAACCACAGUGGUUAUUAUUUUGAUGUAAAAAGGGAUUUUGUAAGUGGUAAUCAGCAGUAGAAACAAUAAAGUGUCUCCCUGCUCCUCUUUCAGUAAAAAGCUGAGGGAUGGGGCUGGAGAAAUGUAACCACUCUCAAAUUCAUAGACCGAGCGAUAGAUGCAAGGACUGACCAUCCAUGAAAUCAAAAUUGUAAUCAUGUUUCUAUGAUCUGUUUCCAUGACCAUGUAACCAGUUCGCUUUGGAUAAAGGCGUCUGCUAAAUGGCAUAUAUUAUUAAAGUCUACUUUGACUCUGCCAACUAGCUGCCCAGUGGUUACCAUUCCUUUCCAAUAGAUGGCAGCCAAAGCUAGUUCAAGUCACUACUCUAGCACAGGGACAUGGGAUUAAUGCUCACUGAAAGUAGUUUUAUUUUUUAUUGAACCUUUAUUUAACUAGGCAAGUCAUUUACAGUGACGGCUUACACCGGCCAAACCUGGACGGUGAGAUUUACCGGUUACUCUGCGCAAACCUCCACCCUCCAAAAAACCCAACAUGAACUCUGACAUUGUGGCUACCUUCUCCUUACUCAUCAUCUCCAGGUCUGACGCCAUUGAGAAAAUGGUAGGCGCGAACACCAUGGUUAUCGAAGGCUUGAAAAAGACUGGAGUUUGCAUGUGGUGAAAUCAAGGACGUGAAAAGGAGUGGCAGAAGUUGAAAAAAUAAGUUGUGGAAAAGAAUAACAAUAUCUACCAUAGACGUCUCACUGAUCUGGAACAAUACACAAGAGCCUGAGACUCUACGGCGUGCCAGAGACGGAGAAUGGGGAUGUGCGACGAGAGGCUAUCCGCAUCUGCCAAGAAGUUAUGCCUGCAGAGACUAACAAAGUUGGUGAUACCAUUAAUGUUGCGCAUCGCCUCAGCAAGAAGCAACAGCAAAACGAUUCAAGACCAAGCGGUAUCAUCAUCUUCACUGCCAGAUUCUACAGGGAUGCUGUCUGGAAAGCUGCUAGGAAGAACACCUUCCUUCAGAGCCAUGGUCUGCGUGUGGCAGGGCUGAAAUGCAGUGGAAAUGUUUUUGGGGGAUUCAGUUCAUUUGCAUGGCAAAGAGGGACUUUGCAAUUAAUUGCAAUUCAUCUGAUCACUGUUCAUAACAACAUCAUAUACUGUUAUACUGUUAUAAUAUCAUAACAGUUUAUGCAAAUUGCCAUCAUACAAACUGAGGCAUCAGACUUUGUGAAAAUUAAUAUUUGUGUCAUUCUCAAAACAUUUGUCCACGACUGUAUACCUUAGCAGUGCUUCCCUUCCUUCCUUUUUCUACAACCGUGUUUAAUAUUUAUUUAUUUUCCCUUUUGACUUUAACUAUUUGUACAUUGUUAUAGCACUGUACAUAGCAAUAAUAUGACAUUUCACAUGUCUCUAUUCCUUUGAAACUUUUGUGAGUGUAAUGUUGACUGAUCAUUUUUGAUUGUUUGUUUAUUUCACAUUUGUUUAUUAUCUAUUUAACUUACUUUGGCAAUGUAAACAUACACUACAUGUACAAAAGUAAGUGGACACCUUCUCGUAGAACAUUUAUUUCCAAAUUCAUGGGCAUUAAAAUUGAGUUUGUCCCCCCCUUUGCCGCUAUAUCAGCCUCCACUCUUUUGGGAAGGCUUUCCACAAGAUGUUGGAAUUGCUGUGAGGACUUGCUUCCAUUCAGCCACGAGCAAUUGUGAGUUCGGGCACUGAUGUUGGGUGAUUAGCCCUGGCUCGCAGCCGGCGUUCCAAUUCAUCCCAAAGGUGUUCGAUGGGGUUGAGGUCAGGGCUCUGCAGGCCAGUCAAGUUCUUUCACACCGAUCUCAACAAACCAUUUCUAUAUGGACUUCACUUUGUGCACAGGAGCAUUGUCAUUCUGAAACAAGAAAGGGCCUUCCACAAACUGUUGUCACAAAGUUGGAAGCACAGAAUCAUCUAGAAUGUUAUUGUACCCUAUGCUGUAGCGUGUCCUUUCUUUGCAUGUUUCUACACAAUGGUCUUCAUAGAAGAAAAUACACAAUACACAAGCGUUUUGCUACACCCGAAAUAACAUCUGCUAAACACGUGUAUGUGACCAAUACAAUUUGAUUUGAUUUGCCUUCACUGGAACUAAGAGGUCUAGCCCAAACCAUGAAAAAUAGCCCCAAACCAUUAUUCCUCCUCCACCAAACUUUACAGUUGGCACUAAUCCUUUGGGCAGGUAGCGUUCUCCUGGCAUCCGCCAAACAGAUUUGUCUGUUUGCCAGAUGGUAAAGACGGGAAAGCUUGAUUCAUCACUCCAGAGAAUGCGUUUCCACUUUCCAGAGUCCAAUGGCUACAAGCUUUACACCACUCCAACCGGCGCUUAGCAUUGCGCAUGGUGAUUUUAGGCUUGUGUGCAGCUGCUUGGCAAUGGAAACACAUUUCAUGAAGCUCCCGACGAACAGUUAUUGUGCGGAUGUUGCUUCCAGAGGCAGUUUGUGCUACGCGCUACGCACUCAGCGGUCCCGUUCUGUGAGCUUGUGUGGCCUAUCACUUCGCAGCUGAGCUGUUGUUGCUCCUAGAGGUUUACACAUCACAAUAAAAGCACUUACAGUUGACCAGAGCGGCUCUAGCAGGGCAGAAAUUUGAUGAACUGACUUGUUGGGAAGGUGGCUUGCUAUGACGGUGCCACAUUGAAUGUCACUGAGUUCUUCAGUAAGGCCAUUCUACUGUCAAUGUUUGUCUAUGGAGAUUGCAUGGAUGUGUGCUCAAUUUUAUACACCUGUCAGCAGUGGGUGUUGCUGAAAUAGCCGAAUCAACUCAUUUGAAGGGGUAUCCCCAUACUUUUGUAUAAAUGGUGUAUGUUUCU
This is a long non-coding RNA of Oncorhynchus tshawytscha (Chinook salmon), 3936 nucleotides long. The record is from Ensembl. NCBI's taxonomy places the organism in Eukaryota, Metazoa, Chordata, Actinopteri, Salmoniformes, Salmonidae.